AGUAAAGGAAAAGACGAAGAUAAAAAGAGAGACGCAUUGGAAGAAAUCCAACAAGGAAUCGAGGAGAAAGAGUCUUGUCACGUCAUCAGUGGAUCGCGAGCAAGCAGUCUUAAUCUCCAACCGACCAUUGCAGCGUAUCAUUAAUGUUUAUGAUGGGGAAAUGUUCAUCAUUCUUCGGUAAUUUAUGAUAUCACAUUUAGUUAGGGUAUUCUUCGCACGAAUCUUCACCGUCGUUUUCUGUUGUCACGUGAUUCCUUUCGCUGGAGCUGGUGACCAUCUCAGUGAGCACGCGGGGCAUUUGGUUUUGGGUUUGGAACCGUCUGGAAUCAGCUACAUUCCCACGUCACGUGAGUAUUAAGUCAAUUAUUGGGCCGAAGAACGCUGAUGCCCGUCACAGAAACCCAGAGUUUGUUGGUCAGCCGUCCAUUUGAAAGGGCUUCUCCCUCCCUUUCCCAUCUCCUCUCUCUCUCUCUCUCUCUCUCUCUCUCUCGCUGCUUUGUUCGGAGUUCUCUUCUUUUUACCCUCUUUCGAUUUUCUCAGUCUUCUUGACCUCUCUGGGGUUCCCAAGAUUCUCAUUCGUUGAUCCAUUUCCGUCCCUCCCGAUCCUUGAACGACCAUCUCCUCGGAGAAACUGGAGGCCCAGCAACGCCGGUUUCUGGAGGAGGACGGCACUCCUGAUCGCCAGCUCAAGCUGAUGGAGGAGAUAUUCCAAGAAGAUGCAGCAGCUGGAGGCGAGGACUGCAAGAAUUCAAAGAAGGAAGACGACGUGGACCCAAGCGCAGGUGGACUUCUAUUGUUUACUGUUCUAAUUAGGGGGGCUACCAUCCUGCUUCGGAUGAAUCAAAUGAAAGGCUCGGUCAAGCUUCGCAGAGGAAGAAGAAGGAAAAAGAAAGAGUUGUGAAGGAGAGAUAAAUAAGUGCGGAGAAAUGGGUGGACUAGUGGUUGUGGCAACAAAGGCGGCGUCAGAAAUGGGUCGCAAGCUCUAAUCGGGAGUGGCAUCACCCAAUGUUAUAUUUAUUUUAUGAUUUAUUUCUUUUUAUAUAUGAUUUAGCCCGUGCCAUGACGGCAACAUGAGAAGUGGGUCACAAGCCCUAAUCGGGGGUGGCACCACACAAUGUUAUAUUUAUUUUUGGGUUUGUUUCUAUUUAUAUAUGA
Long non-coding RNA from Musa acuminata AAA Group (dessert banana), 1155 nucleotides. RefSeq lists it as uncharacterized. Lineage: Eukaryota; Viridiplantae; Streptophyta; Magnoliopsida; Zingiberales; Musaceae. The record is from RefSeq and is a predicted model, not a curated record. The transcript has 4 exons.